This 562-nucleotide ribosomal RNA is filed under the name uncultured bacterium. RNAcentral describes it as "partial 16S ribosomal RNA". It matches the Rfam family "Bacterial small subunit ribosomal RNA", at positions 355 to 921 of the family's 1533-position model. The record is from RNAcentral.
UGAGGAAUAUUGGUCAAUGGGCGAGAGCCUGAACCAGCCAAAUCGCGUGAAGGAAGACUGCCUUAUGGGUUGUAAACUUCUUUUAUACAGGAAUAAAAAGGGACGUGUCCCUUAUUGCAUGUACUGUAUGAAUAAGCAUCGGCUAACUCCGUGCCAGCAGCCGCGGUAAUACGGAGGAUGCGAGCGUUAUCCGGAUUUAUUGGGUUUAAAGGGUGCGCAGGCGGGCUUUUAAGUCAGCGUGAAAUCUCGGGCUUAAUCCGAAACUGCCGUUGAAACUGGGAGUCUUGAGUAUGGAUGAAGUAGGCGGAAUUCGUUGUGUAGCGGUGACAUGCUUAGAUAUAACGAGGAACUCCGAUUGCGUAGGCAGCUUACUAAGCCAUAACUGACGCUCAAGCACGAAAGCGUGGGAUCAAAACAGGAUUAGAUACCCCUGGUAGUCCACGCCGUAAACGAUGAUUACUAGUUGUAUGCGAUAUACCGUAUGUGACUAAGCGAAAGCGAUAAGUAAUCCACCUGGGGGAGUACGCCGGCAACGGUGAAACUCAAAUGAUUGACGGGGUCA